Molecule: ribosomal RNA, 358 nt
Filed under: Haptophyta environmental samples
Lineage: Eukaryota; Haptophyta
Description: SSU rRNA
Rfam family: Eukaryotic small subunit ribosomal RNA
Source: RNAcentral
UAGCGUAUAUUAAAGUUGUUGCAGUUAGAACGCUCGUAGUCGGAUUUCGGGGCGGGGCGACCGGUCUGCCGAUGGGUACGCACUGGUCGGCGCGUCCUUCCUUCCGGAGACCGUGCCUACUCUUAACUGAGCGGGGGCGGGAGACGGGACUUUUACUUUGAAAAAAUCAGAGUGUUUCAAGCAGGCAGCUCGCUCUUGCAUGGAUUAGCAUGGGAUAAUGAAAUAGGACUUUGGUGCUAUUUUGUUGGUUUCGAACACCGAAGUAAUGAUGAGAAGGGACAGUCAGGGGCACUCGUAUUCCGCAGAGAGAGGUGAAAUUCUCAGACCCGCGGAAGACGAACCACUGCGAAAGCAUUUG